AAUUAAUGAGCUUGUUAAAGCAUUUGUUUUGAAAACUUAAGAAAGAAUUCCAUUCUAUUAAUUU
RNAcentral lists this transfer RNA (64 nucleotides) under Argestina inconstans. Its description in RNAcentral is "tRNA-Ser". Lineage: Eukaryota; Metazoa; Arthropoda; Insecta; Lepidoptera; Nymphalidae. The record is from RNAcentral.